RNAcentral lists this ribosomal RNA (471 nucleotides) under uncultured bacterium. RNAcentral's name for it is "bacterial SSU rRNA". It matches the Rfam family "Bacterial small subunit ribosomal RNA", at positions 355 to 825 of the family's 1533-position model. The record is from RNAcentral.
UGGGGAAUUGUUCGCAAUGGGCGCAAGCCUGACGACGCAACGCCGCGUGGAGGAUGAAGGUCUUCGGAUCGUAAACUCCUGUUGCCCGGGACGAAUAGCUUCGACCUAACACGUCGGAGUAUGACGGUACCGGGUGAGGAAGCCCCGGCUAACUCUGUGCCAGCAGCCGCGGUAAUACAGAGGGGGCAAGCGUUGUUCGGAAUUACUGGGCGUAAAGGGCGCGUAGGCGGCCUGUUAAGUCGAACGUGAAAUCCCUCGGCUCAACCGGGGAAUUGCGUCUGAGACUGGCGAGCUUGAGUGCAGGAGAGGAACGCGGAAUUCCAGGUGUAGCGGUGAAAUGCGUAGAUAUCUGGAGGAACACCGGUGGCGAAGGCGGCGUUCUGGACUGCAACUGACACUGAAGAACGAAAGCCAGGGUAGCAAACGGGAUUAGAUACCCCCGUAGUCCCUGAGCGGGCUGGCAAGGCGCAU